AGCGAACGUUUGCGGCGGGCCUAACACAUGCAAGUCGAACGAGAAAACCUUCGGGUGAGUAGAGUGGCGCACGGGUGAGGAACGCGUAGGUAAUCUACCCUUUGGCGGGGGACAACACCCGGAAACGGAUGCUAAUACCGCAUAUGACCACGCUCACUAAGGUGAGAGUGGUAAAAGACGCUUCACAGCGUCACCAAAGGAUGAGCCUGCGUCCCAUCAGCUUGUUGGUAAGGUAACGGCUUACCAAGGCGAAGACGGGUAGCUGGUCUGAGAGGAUGAUCAGCCACACUGGUACUGGAACACGGACCAGACUCCUACGGGAGGCAGCAGUGAGGAAUAUUGGGCAAUGGGCGAAAGCCUGACCCAGCCACGCCGCGUGUGUGAUGAAGGCCUUCGGGUCGUAAAGCACUGUGGGGAGGGACGAACAAGCGCAUCAGGAAAUGGGUGCGCCCUGACGGUACCUCCUUAGCAAGCACCGGCUAACUCUGUGCCAGCCGCCGCCGUAACAC
This 509-nucleotide ribosomal RNA is filed under the name uncultured bacterium. RNAcentral's name for it is "bacterial SSU rRNA". It matches the Rfam family "Bacterial small subunit ribosomal RNA", at positions 29 to 526 of the family's 1533-position model. The record is from RNAcentral.